GACCGAAUGGCGUAGUGGUUAGUGACCCUACGCCUACUACUGAGCCGAAGGUCCCGGGUUCGAUUCCCGGCUGGGGCA
Molecule: transfer RNA, 78 nt
Filed under: Plutella xylostella (diamondback moth)
Lineage: Eukaryota; Metazoa; Arthropoda; Insecta; Lepidoptera; Plutellidae
Description: tRNA-Ser
Source: RNAcentral